GAUGAACGCUGGCGGCGUGCCUAAUACAUGCAAGUCGAGCGAACGGACGAGAAGCUUGCUUCUCUGAUGUUAGCGGCGGACGGGUGAGUAACACGUGGAUAACCUACCUAUAAGACUGGGAUAACUUCGGGAAACCGGAUCUAAUACCGGAUAAUAUUUUGAACCGCAUGGUUCAAAAGUGAAAGACGGUCUUGCUGUCACUUAUAGAUGGAUCCGCGCUGCAUUAGCUAGUUGGUAAGGUAACGGCUUACCAAGGCAACGAUGCAUAGCCGACCUGAGAGGGUGAUCGGCCACACUGGAACUGAGACACGGUCCAGACUCCUACGGGAGGCAGCAGUAGGGAAUCUUCCGCAAUGGGCGAAAGCCUGACGGAGCAACGCCGCGUGAGUGAUGAAGGUCUUCGGAUCGUAAAACUCUGUUAUUAGGGAAGAACAUAUGUGUAAGUAAAUGUGCACAUCUUGACGGUACCUAAUCAGAAAGCCACGGCUAACUACGUG
This 497-nucleotide ribosomal RNA is filed under the name uncultured bacterium. RNAcentral describes it as "partial 16S ribosomal RNA". It matches the Rfam family "Bacterial small subunit ribosomal RNA", at positions 28 to 507 of the family's 1533-position model. The record is from RNAcentral.